Molecule: ribosomal RNA, 254 nt
Filed under: uncultured bacterium
Lineage: Bacteria
Description: partial 16S ribosomal RNA
Rfam family: Bacterial small subunit ribosomal RNA
Source: RNAcentral
UACGAAGGGGGCUAGCGUUGUUCGGAUUAACUGGGCGUAAAGGGUGCGUAGGCGGGGUUUUAAGUCAGGGGUGAAAUGCCGAGGCUCAACUUCGGAACUGCCUUUGAUACUGGAACUCUUGAGUCUGGGAGAGGUGAGUGGAAUUCCGAGUGUAGAGGUGAAAUUCGUAGAUAUUCGGAAGAACACCAGUGGCGAAGGCGGCUCACUGGACUGGUAUUGACGCUGAGGUGACGAAAGCGUGGGGAGCAAACAGG